GAUGAACGCUAGCUACAGGCUUAACACAUGCAAGUCGAGGGGCAUCAGGAAGAAAGCUUGCUUUCUUUGCUGGCGACCGGCGCACGGGUGAGUAACACGUAUCCAACCUGCCCUUUACUCGGGGAUAGCCUUUCGAAAGAAAGAUUAAUACCCGAUGGGAUAAUUAUUCCGCAUGGUUUGAUUAUUAAAGGAUUCCGGUAAAGGAAGGGGAUGCGUUCCAUUAGGUUGUUGGUGAGGUAACGGCUCACCAAGCCUUCGAUGGAUAGGGGUUCUGAGAGGAAGGUCCCCCACAUUGGAACUGAGACACGGUCCAAACUCCUACGGGAGGCAGCAGUGAGGAAUAUUGGUCAAUGGGCGCUAGCCUGAACCAGCCAAGUAGCGUGAAGGAUGAAGGCUCUAUGGGUCGUAAACUGCUUUUAUAAGGGAAUAAAGUGAGUCUCGUGAGACUUUUUGCAUGUACCUUAUGAAUAAGGACCGGCUAAUUCCGUGCCAGCAGCCGCCGUAA
RNAcentral lists this ribosomal RNA (505 nucleotides) under uncultured bacterium. RNAcentral describes it as "partial 16S ribosomal RNA". It matches the Rfam family "Bacterial small subunit ribosomal RNA", at positions 28 to 523 of the family's 1533-position model. The record is from RNAcentral.